AUAUAUAUAUCAAGCUUCUCUUGUUGAGUGGUUUGGAUGUGGGGGUUUUUUGCUGGGCCUCUUAAAGGGUUCAGCUCCCCUGAAAUGCAUUAGCAGAACAACCCUGUUCAUUGGUGUGAUAACUAUCUAUGCUAUUGAAUGUGAGGGGCAGUUCAGCUUUCUAACAGUCCUUGGACAAUUCAUCAUUA
RNAcentral lists this unclassified non-coding RNA (188 nucleotides) under uncultured Cortinarius. Its description in RNAcentral is "sequence contains ITS2". Lineage: Eukaryota; Fungi; Basidiomycota; Agaricomycetes; Agaricales; Cortinariaceae. The record is from RNAcentral.